Molecule: ribosomal RNA, 301 nt
Filed under: uncultured bacterium
Lineage: Bacteria
Description: partial 16S ribosomal RNA
Rfam family: Bacterial small subunit ribosomal RNA
Source: RNAcentral
CAGUCGCCACGGUAAUACGUAGGGUGCAAGCGUUAAUCGGAAUUACUGGGCGUAAAGCGUGCGCAGGCGGUGUUGUAAGACUGAUGUGAAAUCCCCGGGCUCAACCUGGGAACUGCAUUGGUGACUGCAACGCUGGAGUGCGGCAGAGGGGGAUGGAAUUCCGCGUGUAGCAGUGAAAUGCGUAGAUAUGCGGAGGAACACCGAUGGCGAAGGCAAUCCCCUGGGCCUGUACUGACGCUCAUGCACGAAAGCGUGGGGAGCAAACAGGAUUAGAUACCCCCGUAGUCCCUGUCUCUUAUAC